CCCUUAGAUGUUCUGGGCCGCACGCGCGCUACACUGAUGCAUUCAACGAGUUUCUUCCUGGUCCGAGAGGAAUGGGUAACCUUUUGAAAGUGCAUCGUGAUAGGGAUAGACUAUUGCAAUUAUUGGUCUUCAACGAGGAAUUCCUAGUAGACGUAGUUCAUCAGACUGCAUCGAUUACGUCUCUGCCCUUUGUACACACCGCCCGUCGCUCCUACCGAUUGAAUGCUCAGGUGAGCCAUUCGGACUUUCAUCAUGCUGGUUUCCAGUUUUGAUGAAGGAAAGUCUUGCGAACCUUAUCAUUUAGAGGAAGGAGAAGUCGUAACA
This 324-nucleotide ribosomal RNA is filed under the name uncultured eukaryote. RNAcentral describes it as "partial 18S ribosomal RNA". It matches the Rfam family "Eukaryotic small subunit ribosomal RNA", at positions 1470 to 1796 of the family's 1831-position model. The record is from RNAcentral.